UGGGUGUCUAGUAUUUUGGUCAGGGAGUUUGAUGCAGACAUGUUUCUUGUAGAGAGUCAAAAGUUUCUAGUUAGAUUUUGUAAUCAGACAACCAAUUUGUUUAGGGGUUUCAUUUUUAAACAAAUUAGCCUUCCACUAUUUUCUCAGAUCCCUACACUCCUUAGGUAGAGAUAUGAAAAUCUCUGUGAUUAGUGAUUUCUAGUGGGUGGUGCGGUCUCACCGACUGGCUCACCACCUCACCUAACAGUUAUUGGUGAUGGGUCAACCGAUGAGUGGACAACUCUUGUCCAAAGAUUCUCUAAUCAUGGUGCACCCAAAACUUGGUCUCUAAUUCAUGAAGCUCACCGUGCCCAGAAUAUUGCUCCAAUCCUUAGUUAAGUCAGACCCACCAUUUACACGAAUUAGAUUCCUGAUUGGAUCCCUCACCAUAUCUGGAAUAUUGAGCACAACUCAUCCUCUAAUCCAUAGCAUCCAAUGCCUAAUGGACAUGGUUACGUCUUUCCGGUGC
This 508-nucleotide long non-coding RNA is filed under the name Elaeis guineensis (African oil palm). RNAcentral's name for it is "long non-coding RNA (EGUI_LNC048952)". The record is from RNAcentral. Lineage: Eukaryota; Viridiplantae; Streptophyta; Magnoliopsida; Arecales; Arecaceae.